UACGGGAGGCAGCAGGGGGGAAGUAUUGCACAAUGGGCGCAAGCCUGAUGCAGCCAUGCCGCGUGUAUGAAGAAGGCCUUCGGGUUGUAAAGUACUUUCAGUCGUGAGGAAGGUGUUAAGGUUAAUAACCUUAGCAAUUGACGUUAGCGACAGAAGAAGCACCGGCUAACUCCGUGCCAGCAGCCGCGGUAAUACGGAGGGUGCGAGCGUUAAUCGGAAUUACUGGGCGUAAAGGGCACGCAGGCGGUUAAUUAAGUUGGAUGUGAAAUCCCCGGGCUUAACCUGGGAAUGGCAUUCAAGACUGGUUAGCUAGAGUCUUGUAGAGGGGGUAGAAUUCCAUGUGUAGCGGUGAAAUGCGUAGAGAUGUGGAGGAAUACCGGUGGCGAAGGCGGCCCCUGGACAAAGACUGACGCUCAUGUGCGAAAGCGUGGGGAGCAAACAGGG
This 444-nucleotide ribosomal RNA is filed under the name uncultured bacterium. RNAcentral describes it as "bacterial SSU rRNA". It matches the Rfam family "Bacterial small subunit ribosomal RNA", at positions 340 to 777 of the family's 1533-position model. The record is from RNAcentral.